Molecule: non-coding RNA, 107 nt
Filed under: Trichococcus sp.
Lineage: Bacteria; Bacillati; Bacillota; Bacilli; Lactobacillales; Carnobacteriaceae
Description: TPP sequence
Rfam family: TPP riboswitch aptamer (THI element)
About the family: Vitamin B(1) in its active form thiamin pyrophosphate (TPP) is an essential coenzyme that is synthesised by coupling of pyrimidine and thiazole moieties in bacteria.
Source: RNAcentral
CAUACGAAAAAAGGGAGCUUGUGUCAGCAGGCUGAGAGGAAGUCAUCAACUUCGACCUAUUACCUGAUUUGGAUAAUGCCAACGUAGGGAAAUAACAUUGAAUGAUU